GACGAACGCUGGCGGCGUGCUUAACACAUGCAAGUCGAACGGUGAUGCUCCAGCUUGCUGGAGUGGAUCAGUGGCGAACGGGUGAGUAACACGUGAGCAACCUGCCCCAGACUCUGGAAUAAGCGCUGGAAACGGCGGCUAAUACUGGAUACGAAACUGGCCCGCAUGGGCAUGGUUUGUAAAGUUGUUCGGUUUGGGAUGGGCUCGCGGCCUAUCAGCUUGUUGGUGAGGUAAUGGCUCACCAAGGCGACGACGGGUAGCCGGCCUGAGAGGGCGACCGGCCACACGGGGACUGAGAGACGGCCCAGACUCCUACGGGAGGCAGCAGUGGGGAAUAUUGCACAAUGGGGGAAAGCCUGAUGCAGCGACGCCGCGUGAGGGAUGACGGCCUUCGGGUUGUAAACCUAUUUCAGCAGAGAAGAAGCGAAAGUGACGGUACCUGCAGAAGAAGCACCGGCUAACUACGUG
Molecule: ribosomal RNA, 468 nt
Filed under: uncultured bacterium
Lineage: Bacteria
Description: partial 16S ribosomal RNA
Rfam family: Bacterial small subunit ribosomal RNA
Source: RNAcentral